ACCGCUCCACUCUAAAUAUGAAAC
Molecule: microRNA, 24 nt
Filed under: Ananas comosus (pineapple)
Lineage: Eukaryota; Viridiplantae; Streptophyta; Magnoliopsida; Poales; Bromeliaceae
Description: microRNA s1116_c003b
Source: RNAcentral